UACGUAGGGUGCGAGCGUUACUCGGAAUUACUGGGCGUAAAGCGUGCGCAGGCGGUGGCUCAAGUCAGGCGUGAAAUCCCCGGGCUUAACCUGGGAAUGGCGUUUGGGACUGGGUCGCUAGAGUGUGGCAGAGGGAGGUGGAAUUCCACGUGUAGCAGUGAAAUGCGUAGAUAUCUGGAGGAACACCGGUGGCGAAGGCGGCAUCCUGGACCGGCAUUGACGCUGAGGAGCGAAAGCCAGGGGAGCAAACGGG
This 253-nucleotide ribosomal RNA is filed under the name uncultured bacterium. RNAcentral's name for it is "partial 16S ribosomal RNA". It matches the Rfam family "Bacterial small subunit ribosomal RNA", at positions 524 to 776 of the family's 1533-position model. The record is from RNAcentral.